AAAGGCAUGGUCCCAACCUUAAUAUCUGCCCUAGCUCAAUUUACACAUGCAAGUAUCCGCAACCCAGUGAACAUGCCCUCAGUCCCCCUCCCGGGGAAGAGGAGCGGACAUCAGGCACACAUUACAAGCCCAAGACGUCUGGCCAAGCCACACCCCCAAGGGAAUUCAGCAGUGAUAAACAUUAAGCCAUAAGUGAAAACUUGACUCAGUUAGAGCUAAGAGGGCCGGUAAAACUCGUGCCAGCCACCGCGGUUAGACGAGAGGCCCUAGUUGAUAUUUAAACGGCGUAAAGAGUGGUUAGGGAAGAAAAAUAAUAAAGCCGAAUGGCCCCUUGGCCGUCAUACGCUUCUAGGCGUCCGAAGCCCCAUCUUACACGAAAGUAGCUUUAAUACCACCCGACUCCACGAAAGUUAAGAAACAAACUGGGAUUAGAUACCCCACUAUGCUUAACCGUAAACUAAGACAUCAAACUACAGCAAGAUGUCCGCCAGGGUACUACGAGCACCAGCUUAAAACCCAAAGGACCUGACGGUGUCUCAGAUCCACCUAGAGGAGCCUGUUCUAUAACCGAUAACCCCCGUUAAACCUUACCACUUUUAGCCAUCCCAGCCUAUAUACCGCCGUCGUCAGCUUACCCUGUGAAGGCAGCAAAAGUAAGCAAAAUGAGUAAAACCCAAAACGUCAGGUCGAGGUGUAGCGCAUGAAGUGGAAAGAAAUGGGCUACAUUUUCUAUUUCAGAACAUACGAAUAUGCACCAUGAAACAGUGCUUAAAGGAGGAUUUAGCAGUAAAAAGGAAACAGAGUGUCCAUUUGAACCCGGCUCUGAGACGCGUACACACCGCCCGUCACUCUCCCCAUCAUAAGCGCACAUAUACCUAAUUCAACAGCACAAGAACUAGGGGAGGCAAGUCGUAACAUGGUAAGUGCACCGGAAGGUGCACUUGGAACAAACC
RNAcentral lists this non-coding RNA (953 nucleotides) under Puntius eugrammus (striped barb). Its description in RNAcentral is "12S rRNA". It matches the Rfam family "Bacterial small subunit ribosomal RNA". The record is from RNAcentral. Lineage: Eukaryota; Metazoa; Chordata; Actinopteri; Cypriniformes; Cyprinidae.